RNA transcript from Etheostoma cragini (Arkansas darter), 3725 nucleotides. It is a transcript of the gene named leucine rich repeat transmembrane neuronal 4 like 1, with no coding region annotated. Lineage: Eukaryota; Metazoa; Chordata; Actinopteri; Perciformes; Percidae. The record is from RefSeq and is a predicted model, not a curated record. The transcript has 3 exons.
CACACACACACAGAAAAACAAAAAACAAAUCUCACAUUUGACCAAAUGUGCCUGCAGCUGUCAAACACUGCAUUUAAUGCUUUCUCCCUCUCCUUUUCAUUCUCCCAGUUGCGCGCGCCUGCACGUCCCCCACGCAGGCGCGCGCGUGCACACAGUGAGACCAACGCUCGCCAAUGCACUGCACAGGAGCCCCUGACAGUGCCCGUGCAUGCUGCCUGGCGUCUCUGCCGCUCCGCUGGAUGUUUGCGCAGAGGACACCUGCCUCCGCCGCUGCAACACCCACCUCGUUUCCACCUCCUAACUUUUGCAACGUGUUACUGUUUUUUUUGUUGUUGCUGUCGCGUGCUUCUGUUCCAAGAUUAUGUUUCUAUCGGAUGAAAAAACGCUGUAGAGCCCGGGCGUUUGACUUCCAACUUGGCACUUGGAUGGAUAUGUGUGACAGGUCUGGAAAGUUGCCCUGCGUUAGGGAGCAUGGGCGCAAACUUUAAGAGUUUUUUUUUAAUAUUUAUAUAAUAGGGAGACAGUUAGUUUAUAAUGAAGGCAGGUGAGUCGCCCCUCGCGUGAGAGGAACUACUCCGGGGCUCUCCAGGUACUGGGAACGGAAAGGACGACACGGACAAAGUCGUGAUCUGUGCGGCGGAUUGCGCCACGGAGGACGAAGGGAACGUACCGAUGAGACAACAUGGGUCCAAUGCUGUGUGAUGGACGACUGACACACCUUCUCUUUCCUCUCCUGCUCCUCUUGCGGGCUCCCCUGCUGUUCAGCUUUAAUGAGCGCACCUGUCCCAAUAGCUGCCGAUGUGAGGGGAAGACGGUCCAUUGUGAUUCAGCUGGCUUCUUAGAUGUCCCAGAAAACAUCUCUGUAGGCUGCCAAGGCCUCUCCCUGCGCUACAAUGAACUACACACCCUGCUGCCAUAUCAAUUUGCUCACCUCAGCCAGCUUCUUUGGAUCUACUUGGACCAUAAUCAGAUUUCAGCUGUCGACAGUCGAGCAUUCCAGGGGGUCCGCAGGCUUAAAGAGCUGAUACUAAGCUCCAACAGGAUCACAUCCCUGCACAAUUCAACAUUCCAUGGAAUUCCCAAUCUUCGCAGUCUGGACUUGUCCUACAACAAAUUGGAAAUCCUGCAGCCUGGUCAAUUUCAUGGCUUACGGAAACUGCAAAACCUACACCUACGCUCGAAUGGUCUUUCCAACAUCCCAAUUCGAGCAUUCCUGGAGUGCCGAAGUUUGGAGUUUUUAGAUUUGGGCUAUAAUCGAAUCAAGGCUCUUACCCGUACAACCUUUUUGGGGCUACAGAAGCUGAUGGAGUUGCAUCUGGAGCACAACCAGUUUUCACGGAUCAACUUUUUUCUGUUUCCACGCUUAGCCAACCUGAGAUCACUCUAUCUGCAGUGGAACCGUAUUAAGGUGGUCAACCAGGGCCUGCCGUGGACUUGGUAUACACUGCAAAAACUUGAUCUGUCUGGAAAUGAAAUCCAGACCCUAGACCCGGCUGUGUUCCACUGCUUGCCCAACCUUCAAGUCCUCAACCUGGAAUCCAACAAACUGUCCAAUGUGUCUCAAGAGGCGGUGUCAGCAUGGAUCUCAUUGACCUCCAUCAGCCUUGCUGGGAACAUGUGGGAUUGUGGAACUGGUAUUUGCCCACUUGUGGCUUGGUUGAGGAAUUUUCGGGGAAGUAAAGACACCACUAUGAUAUGCAGCAGUCCAAAAUAUCUCCAAGGUGAAAAAAUUAUGGAAGCCACGAGGAACCAUGGUAUUUGUGAGGAAACAGAUUACGUUCUGACUGAAACACCCUCACCAAUGUCAGAGCUCAUUUCCGAAGCUACCGGGGAACCAACCUUUGCUCCUACUAGCGGCUCUCCGCCUAUGCCACCAGCCAGCACCUUUGGUCCCGUCCCACCAUUCAGACCUCGACCGAUUCCUCAUCCUACCUUUCCAGGGCAGAUGAGCAAAAACCCAAGAGACUCAGUUGCUGGCACUCGACCCACCUUCAUACCACCCCCAGAGUUUGAACACAUGACUCUGCACAAAGUGGUGGUAGGCAGCGUGGCACUCUUCUUCACCAUGUCCCUAAUCUUGACAAUUAUCUAUGUGUUGUGGCGGCGCUAUCCAGGUGCAACCAGGUUGCUGCAGCAGCGAUCCAUGGUGGGGCGGAGGCGUCGCAAAAAGAGUCCGGAGCCAGAGCAGAACCUGAGCUCCCAGCUCCAAGAGUAUUAUAUGAGCUACAACCCUGCUGCCACGCCAGAGGCAUUGGAGGUGCUAGGAAAUGGCACUGGUUCCUGCACAUGCACAAUAUCUGGCUCCAGGGAGUGUGAGGUAUGAUUCAUCGCAUCAGCCUAAAAAUAGAAACUCAAAAUCAAAAUACAAAGGCUCAACAGAGAGAACGAGUACACGUGCCCACGCCCCCUACCCGGUGCCUGGCUGGGAGAUGUGCCUACCAUCCAUUAACCACUAAAAGGAACUGCUUUGGAUUGUGCAGCAAACGAGCAUACAGAGGAGAGAGAGAGAGAGAGAGAGAGAGAGACAGACACAUAUACAGUGAACCCAUCAGGAUCCUACUCCAUGUCACAUUCUAGGAUACAGUAAAAAUGGUCCUCCACGCUAAAAGGGCAACCACUGACCACCACAAAGAGAAGAUAUUAGGAUCUUUUUAUUUCUUCUUAAGAUUUUAUAUCUUUUUUUUGGCCUUUGGUCUUUGGUUAUCAGCUUUUCUGCAUUCCAUCAUUCAUCAUAACGACCUGUUCUUAAUACUGCCCCAGAUGGUUGUGGAAACACAGUCCCAUGUUGAAUAGCAGAGCCUUGGAAGUGCAACAAUGGAUGGUUUGCACCAACAUGGGAGAUUAUUGUAUAGACUUUAAUAGCUUAUUGUCUCCAUGAGGACAACGUGGCAUUGUUUUUAACACAGGCGAGAGACUGUACACAUUCAAGAGGCUUUAAAAAAGUGUAAACUGAGUAAUGAGUUAUUGAUAAUGAAAAUGCACUGAACGGUUGGCUGUGGCCACUCUGCAAACACAGCUGUGUAUAAUUUAAAGUGGGUUUCCAUGUGUUGAUGACAUGUGAAGCAACAUGUUUUCACAUGUCGAUACUUUUUUGAUUUUUGGAGAAUCAAAGGCUACGAUGGUGUUAAUGUGCCUCACUGGAGCAGAAACAUCCGAAACGGGUUUGUGUGCACCUGUCAGUAAGGAGGCAUCUGCUCCAUCAGGUGGAAAUCAAGGCAGCACCUGGAAGAUGGUUAGAACCCAGGACACACACACACACACACACACACACACACACACACACACACACACACACACACACACACACAGCCAAUGACCUUCGGUGAUGUUCUUUUGUUUGUUUGCUUUUUUUUUUAAGAACACUUUUUCUAAGUUGUUUCUAAUUGCAAUCAAACCCAGACUGUCUCGUUUGAUUUGAAGGACAGUACGCGCAAUCAGAAGCAAAAAGAGGGAAAAAAUUAAAAUCUCCUAUUAGGGGAAAAAUGUAAUUUUCAGAAAUUAUAAUGUUGUUAAUGUUGUACUUUAUAAAUAUGUGUUUCUGCCAUUUUCAACACCAGAUACCAAAGAGCCAAAUGGAGCAUUUUUGGCUCUCCCAACCAUUGGAACAGAUCGAGGAUUUGCUCCCCUGAAACGAAAUCCCCGAAAAAUCAAAAGCAGCCUCAACUCUCCUCACCUCCAGCAGCUCUGCGUUGCCCAAUUGGCUUUUUUUUUUCUUUUUUUCUUUU